Molecule: ribosomal RNA, 498 nt
Filed under: uncultured Glomeromycotina
Lineage: Eukaryota; Fungi; Glomeromycota
Description: partial small subunit ribosomal RNA
Rfam family: Eukaryotic small subunit ribosomal RNA
Source: RNAcentral
CCAAUAGCGUAUAUUAAAGUUGUUGCAGUUAAAAAGCUCGUAGUUGAAUUUCGGGAUCAAUAUGUUGGUCGUGCCUUGGUACGUACUAAUUUAUUGGUUUCUUCCUUCUGACGAACCUUGAUGUCAUUAAUUAGGUGUCUUGGGGAAUCAGGACUGUUACUUUGAAAAAAUUAGAGUGUUUAAAGCAGGCUCACGCUUGAAUACAUUAGCAUGGAAUAAUGAAAUAGGACGUUUGAUUCUAUUUUGUUGGUUUCUAGGAUUGACGUAAUGAUUAAUAGGGAUAGUUGGGGGCAUUAGUAUUCAAUUGUCAGAGGUGAAAUUCUUGGAUUUAUUGAAGACUAACUACUGCGAAAGCAUUUGCCAAGGAUGUUUUCAUUAAUCAAGAACGAAAGUUAGGGGAUCGAAGACGAUCAGAUACCGUCGUAGUCUUAACCAUAAACUAUGCCGACUAGGGAUCGGAUGAUGUUAAUUUUUUAAUGACUCAUUCGGCGCCUUACG